CUCUUUUAGAAAAAAAUAAAAGUAUAUUCUGCUCAAUGAUUAAUUAAAUAGCUACAUAAUUUGUACUAAGGUAGCAUUAUCAAUUGUCUAUUAAAUGUGGUCUUGUAUGAAAGAAUAAAUAAUUAAUUUCUUUAUUUUUAAUAUUUUUUGAAUUUGAACUUUUAGUUAAAAUGCUAAAAUGAAUUAUAGGGACAAGAAGACCCUAUAAAGCUUUUAAUAAUAAUUAUGAUAUUUAUUGUAUUUAAUUUUUAAUUGGGUUAAUUAUUUAUGAAUAAAAUAUAGAUUUAAAUAUAUUAAUUUAUAAAGAUCCUGUAUUAUAGAAAAUUGAAUAAGUUACUUUAGGGAUAACAGUAUAAUUUUUAUUUAUAAGUUCAAAUUUACAAUAAAGAUUGUAACCUCGAUGUUGAAUUAAUUUUAUUAUAUGGAGAAGGAUCUAUAUUAUAAUUUGACUGUUUGUCAAUUAAAAAAUUACA
This 473-nucleotide ribosomal RNA is filed under the name Rakaia n. sp. Wi Toko. Its description in RNAcentral is "partial 16S ribosomal RNA". Lineage: Eukaryota; Metazoa; Arthropoda; Arachnida; Opiliones; Pettalidae. The record is from RNAcentral.